This is a long non-coding RNA of Malaclemys terrapin pileata, 687 nucleotides long. RefSeq lists it as uncharacterized. Lineage: Eukaryota; Metazoa; Chordata; Testudines; Emydidae. The transcript is spliced from 2 exons. The record is from RefSeq and is a predicted model, not a curated record.
UUGCAGAGAGCACACAGCACUCCGUUCUCCCCAACAGCCAGGAUCUUUUUCUCAGCCUGACUGAAGCACCCUCCCAACCCCCAGACAAUGAGGCCAUGGAAGGGACCUCCGCUGCAAAUUUUUCAAGCCUCCCUCCUCCGUCCCGAAGGCUAUCUCAGAUAAGGUGUCGAAAAAAGAGGAUGUGAGACGUAAUGUUCUCGGAAAUCAUGGAAUCCACCUGCAAUGAAAGAGCUCAUCUGAAGGAAUGGAAGGACAUGGUAUCAAAGUACAGGAAAGAUGCCAGUGAGGCCAUGAGGGACGCUCGAGAUGAGAGGUGGCAGGCUGCAAUGCGGGGCCUGCUGCGUGAUCAAACGGACAUGCUCCGGCGUCUGGUGGAGCUUCAGGAAUGGCAGCAGGAGCACAGAGUGCUGCUGCAGCCGCUGUAUAACCUCCCUCCCCCCUCACCACGUUCCAUAGCCUCCUCACCCAGACAUGCAAGAACGCGGGGGGGAGGGGGGGAGGGAGGCUCCGUGUACCCUCCCACUCCACCCCAGUGGACAGCCCAACCGAAAGGCUGUCAUUACACUGAACUUUUUUAGUGCCUUUUCCUUCCCUUCUAUCCUCCUCCCAAACCCCACCCGGGCUACCUUGUCAGUUCUUUCCCUCUUUUUAUAAUCAAUUAAUAAAGAAUGCAUGAUUUUUAAACGA